Small nucleolar RNA from Lemur catta (Ring-tailed lemur), 104 nucleotides. RefSeq annotates it as small nucleolar RNA U13. NCBI's taxonomy places the organism in Eukaryota, Metazoa, Chordata, Mammalia, Primates, Lemuridae. The transcript has a single exon. The record is from RefSeq and is a predicted model, not a curated record.
AUCCUUUUGUAGUUCCUAAGCGUGAUGACGGGGCUUUCACACGCAUGCGUCAGAUGUGCCUCCCUCAAUCCUUGUUACAACAUCAGCCCAUGACCCGUCUGACA